This 1798-nucleotide long non-coding RNA is filed under the name Oncorhynchus kisutch (coho salmon). RNAcentral describes it as "lncRNA (ENSOKIG00005039746.1)". The record is from RNAcentral. Lineage: Eukaryota; Metazoa; Chordata; Actinopteri; Salmoniformes; Salmonidae.
GUGCGUGUGUACACACACUGUAUACACCCACAGACACGUGCACAAACUGCACCACCUGUUUCUCCCCCUCCCUCACACACUGCCCCUCCCACCGCAUUCCCUCUCUCCCCUGUGUUUAAAAACCUAGAACGUCCGACUAACAGCCCUUCGUAAGCACUUAAGCCAGUGCUUAGCAGCAUAGAGGAAGAGUGGAGCUCAGUGAAACAGUGGAGAAGUCUAGCCGCUACCUCUCAGUGAGAGAGAGAGAGAGAAGAGGUAAGAGACAUCAUUUUAUGCGCAACAGAACAUGUACAGAUUUUUUUUUUACCACGAUGCUGGACCUGGACCUGGACCUUCCUCCACAUCCUCAACAAAAUAAAAGCAAUACCAAAAGGCGCUGGGGCAAACAGUGGCACUGUUUCACCUUAUGCAGAUUCCAGAAUUAAAAGGGACUCUAUGGUUCCACCGGCUUCCUUUUGGCCUGAGACACACGUCGGCCAUGGUAAGGACGGAUGCCCACCGGGCACUCAUUAAACGAAAAAGCCAAAUCAUUAUGGAUCACUUGUUCCCCAUCCACCAGUGGAGGCUGAGGCUUCAUCCCAUAUGGCAUUCUAUUCCCUACAUUGUGCAUUACUUUUGACCAGUGCCCUAAGUCAUUGGUCAAAAGCAGUGCACGAAUAGACUAAAUAGGGUAUGAUUUCGAACGCAGCCUGGGUGAUGUGUCAAAGGGAGACCCCCACCCUUCCCGAUCCUACCGAGCCAGUGUGCAGCAGCUGUGGGCUAUCAUUAGCAGAUGACAAAGGCCAUUAGGAGUCUUACUCUACAGGCCCGGAGUGGAUCUGACAAGCUCACUUUAGCCUUGGCCCACAUCGCCAGCACACCACUCAUAUAAGCACAUAUAGCCACAAACAGACUAAACCAGUCAGUACUAGACCAGUCUGGUAGUAGCCUAGCUUAACAUCUGAAAACACACUGUCCAAUAUACACACACGGCCACACAGACUACACCAGCCAUUAAGUAUAGUUGCCGUAUUGCCUUGAUAUCUUAGUAUUUUCUUAUGCUAAUUUCAACAUGUUUUAAGUCCUAUGGAGAACCACUAAAAUGCAUGAGAAACAAGAGCUUCAAACAAUCAGAUGACAACCAAUUUACAACUCAACCCACACACGUCUGCAGUCAACCAUGAGCCAACCAUAUAGCUGUUUUUAAUAUUGAAUAAAUCAGUACUAUUUUAGUCCCCUACGAUGAAAUAGUAAUCAACUGAAAUUCCAAACGUUAAACAAGCAUAUCUCCUGUCCCGUUUGAGCUUAAAUUGUUGUCACCAAUUGGCCCAAAUGGGGGCGCUGCAUCAUUCCUGGGGGACAGAGUAUGUGAGCGAAGCAGAGCUGUAGUGGAGCAAGAUUCCCCAAAGGCUGGAGCUUCGGCCUUCUCGCCCACUCCAAUUUUACUCCAGUAGCACUCACUUUAGGAGCUUAGGGCCUGCCUGCCCCAGUCUGCAUUUGAAGUCUACUUGUGUGCUGCUAAUAGUCCCUUGCUUUAGCUACUGUCAGAGUUCACUAAAUAGUUUCAUAAAAAACUGAAAACACAGGGGCUAAGUCAAGGUGACUAACAAAAAUGCAGACCAAGAGCAAGAGAGGGAGUGCAGUAAGGUAGUGUCCACUGUUGUGUAAGGCUUGAAUGCCACCUGCUGGUAUGGUGCUAAACUGUUAGGUUAUAGACCGGAUGCCAUUGUUCUAUGCGUGGGAUAUAGCAGUUGUUACAUGCUAGCUAUAUGAAACAUCCACAACUAAAGAAUUUUGUGGAAUCUGAAAAGACACUUAU